RNAcentral lists this long non-coding RNA (658 nucleotides) under Homo sapiens (human). RNAcentral describes it as "BSG antisense RNA 1". The record is from RNAcentral. Lineage: Eukaryota; Metazoa; Chordata; Mammalia; Primates; Hominidae.
GCAUCCCACGCAGGCAGCCCCCUUCCGUACAAGAGAGGCUGGCGGUUACCUUUCUUGGGGAGACGCGUCCGACUGCUUCAUUGUGGGGGCCUCAGGAGCGGAGGAUCGGGUCCCGCCCGAGGUGACGCGUAAACCCAGACUCUCAGCAACGCGGGUAGGAAGGACCCUUGAAGUUCCGCGGCGACCACGUCGGCUGAAACCAGCAGCCCAGGACAAGUGGACCAGCCAGCAAGACCCAGACCAUCCAAACCGGCUGAUCCUACGACAGGACCCAGAUGCCAGUGAAAGUGACCACAGCCCUGCUCUAGUCACCCCGGAAGCUGACCAGUCUACGCACGGCCGAAGCUUCGUCAAGGAAGUAAAUGCCUCCACCCCUCGAAUUCCCAGUUCACCGACACCAGCCUGGGGAUCACCUCCUUGUCAGAAGUUGGAAAGAGGAAAAACUCAGCCAACCUGGGAAGGACUUUAUCGGGUGCUCCUGACCACCAAGAUGACGGUCGGAAAGGGCCCCAUCCCUGGAGGGAUCUUGGACCUUCACUCCAGGAUCAACGCCUUCCAAAUUAACAUUCAAAAAGGUUUAAUCUGUCUCUUCCUUCUCCCUGUAGCCGCCCAAGGACGUCUUAUUAUCAAUAUAAGGUGAUCACCCUUUCCCCAGCUA